RNAcentral lists this ribosomal RNA (253 nucleotides) under uncultured bacterium. Its description in RNAcentral is "partial 16S ribosomal RNA". It matches the Rfam family "Bacterial small subunit ribosomal RNA", at positions 524 to 776 of the family's 1533-position model. The record is from RNAcentral.
UACGAAGGGGGCUAGCGUUGCUCGGAUUGACUGGGCGUAAAGGGCGCGUAGGCGGUUUGCACAGUCAGACGUGAAAUUCCUGGGCUUAACCUGGGGGCUGCGUUUGAUACGUGCAGGCUUGAGUUCGGAAGAGGGUCGUGGAAUUCCCAGUGUAGAGGUGAAAUUCGUAGAUAUUCGCAAGAACACCAGUGGCGAAGGCGGCUCACUGGCCCGAUACUGACGCUGAGGCACGAAAGCGUGGGGAGCAAACAGG